This 231-nucleotide ribosomal RNA is filed under the name Triticum aestivum (bread wheat). Its description in RNAcentral is "partial small subunit ribosomal RNA". The record is from RNAcentral. Lineage: Eukaryota; Viridiplantae; Streptophyta; Magnoliopsida; Poales; Poaceae.
AUGAACAUCUUGGCCUGGAACUGUCGGGGAUUGGGGUUGGACCCGACAGUAGGCGAACUUCAGGACCUGGUUAGGUCACACAACCCAGCGGUGGUUUUCUUAUCAGAAACUAAAAAAACUUCAAGCUCAAUGGUGAGGCUGAAAUGGAGUCUAGGGUUCCGACAUGGGGUUGCCGUGAGCUGUCACGGUAAGAGUGGAGGACUAGCUCUUUGGUGGAGGGAUCAUGUGGAG